UACGUAGGUGGCAAGCGUUAUCCGGAUUUAUUGGGCGUAAAGGGAACGCAGGCGGUCUUUUAAGUCUGAUGUGAAAGCCUUCGGCUUAACCGGAGUAGUGCAUUGGAAACUGAGAGACUUGAGUGCAGAAGAGGAGAGUGGAACUCCAUGUGUAGCGGUGAAAUGCGUAGAUAUAUGGAAGAACACCAGUGGCGAAAGCGGCUCUCUGGUCUGUAACUGACGCUGAGGUUCGAAAGCGUGGGUAGCAAACAGG
RNAcentral lists this ribosomal RNA (253 nucleotides) under uncultured bacterium. Its description in RNAcentral is "partial 16S ribosomal RNA". It matches the Rfam family "Bacterial small subunit ribosomal RNA", at positions 524 to 776 of the family's 1533-position model. The record is from RNAcentral.